This is a small nuclear RNA of Oryctolagus cuniculus (rabbit), 104 nucleotides long. Lineage: Eukaryota; Metazoa; Chordata; Mammalia; Lagomorpha; Leporidae. The record is from Ensembl.
GUGCUCAUUUCAGCAGCACAUAUACUAAAAUUGGAACAAUACAGAGAUUAGCAUGGUCCCUGUGCAAGGAUGACCGACAAAUUCGUGAAGCAUUCCAUAUUAAA